This 220-nucleotide long non-coding RNA is filed under the name Elaeis guineensis (African oil palm). RNAcentral describes it as "long non-coding RNA (EGUI_LNC077351)". The record is from RNAcentral. Lineage: Eukaryota; Viridiplantae; Streptophyta; Magnoliopsida; Arecales; Arecaceae.
GGGUUUCAAGAUCUGAAAUUUUACAAGAAAGUAAAUUUUCUUCUUUCACUUUCUUCUUCAUGGGAUCUCACAGUGGCACCCCUACAUGCCAUGAAGAGCACUCCAUUGAAUGGAAAGAGAGGGUCAUAAAACCCUACUUGCUCCUAUAACCGAACGGCCUGGUGAUUACCCAAUCCGAGUACUUUGCUACUCAGAACUCUAAUCUAAAUAGAUAAUAAUC